RNAcentral lists this ribosomal RNA (242 nucleotides) under Acaulospora laevis. The record is from RNAcentral. Lineage: Eukaryota; Fungi; Glomeromycota; Glomeromycetes; Diversisporales; Acaulosporaceae.
CAGACUUGCCUGUAGUUGCUUAUCCGGACUUUUUGUCCGGUGCACUCUUCUGCGGGCAGGCCAGCAUCAGUUUGGGCGGUUGGAUAAAGGUCUCUGUCAUGUACCUCUCUUCGGGGAGAACUUAUAGGGGAGACGACAUGCAACCGGCCUGGACUGAGGUCCGCGCAUCUGCUAGGAUGCUGGCGUAAUGGCUGUAAGCGGCCCGUCUUGAAACACGGACCAAGGGGUCUAACAUGUGUGCG